ACAGGCGAAGCGUACGGUAUUAGUGCGUCGAUGAGGAUCCUUUUCCUUAUUUAAGGAGCUGGGGGAAUAAAGGGGGGGCAAGUCUGGUGUCAGCCGCCGCGGUAAUACCAGCCCCCUGAGUGGUAGGGACGAUUAUUUGGCCUAAAGCGUCCGUAGCCGGCCCGGCAAGUCUUUCGUUAAAUCCGGCGAUUCAAUCGUCGGACCGCGGAAGAUACUACUAGGCUUGAGGACGGGAGAGGUCGACGGUAGUCCCAAGGGUAGGGGUGAAAUCCUAUAAUCCUGGGAGGACCACCAGUGGCGAAGGCGGUUCGACUAGAACGUGCCUGACGGUGAUGGACGAAAGCUGGGGGAGCGAACCGGAUUAGACACCCGGGUAGUCCCAGCUUGUAAACGAUGCGAGCUAGGUGUUGGGGUAGCUACGAGCUACUCCAGUGCCGCAGAGAAGUCGUUAAGCUCGCCGCCUGGGAAGUACGGCCGCAAGGCCUGAAACUUAAAGGAAUUGGCGGGGGAGCACCACAAGGGGUGAAGCCUGCGGUUCAAUUGGAGUCAACGCCGGGAAACUUACCAGGGGCUGACAGCAGGGUGAAGGCCAGAUUGAGGGUCUUGCCAGACAAGCUGAGAGGAGGUGCAUGGCCGUCGCCAGUUCGUGCCGUGAGGUGUCCUGUUAAGUCAGGCAACGAACGAGACCCUCACCUUUAGUUGCCAGCGGGUUCCAACGGAACGCCGGGCACACUAAAGGAACCGCUGUCGAUAAGACGGAGGAAGGAGAGGGCUACGGCAGGUCAGUAUGCCCCGAAUGCCUGGGCCACACGCGGGCUGCAAUGGUGGGGACAAUGGGUUCCGACCUCGAAAGAGGAAGGUAAUCUCGAAACCCCACCUCAGUUGGGAUUGAGGGCUGAAACCCGUCCUCAUGAACAUGAAUCCCUAUAACCGCACGUCAUCUCGUGCGUAACUCCCCCC
RNAcentral lists this ribosomal RNA (960 nucleotides) under uncultured crenarchaeote. RNAcentral describes it as "bacterial SSU rRNA". It matches the Rfam family "Archaeal small subunit ribosomal RNA", at positions 363 to 1330 of the family's 1478-position model. The record is from RNAcentral. Lineage: Archaea; Thermoproteati; Thermoproteota.